AAAUGUAUUUAUGAAAAGAAUAAUAGUGUAGAUACGAGUAAUCUGAAUCACUUAAUUUCUUGUUUGAAUGCCACGCAAAUUGAAAUCAAUGAUUUUUUAACUAGCCUCGUUGAGAAACAAGACAGUUUUAUUGAUACAGGAAUUUUAGAUCGGCUAGCGUCAGAAAGCGAUUCGGAUUUCGAAGACGCAGUUGAAGUUAACCCUAAAAAAUCUAAACUAACGGAUUAAUAAUUUUGUAAGGGUUCUUUGAUAUUGUAAAAUUUAUAUAGCAUUUAAAUGUUAUAUUUUUUGCAUUAAUCGUUACCCUAUAAUGUAUCGUCACAACAUUAUGUGUGCUCACAAAUAAAAACUUGUAAUGGUUAGGAACAA
Molecule: RNA transcript, 369 nt
Organism: Bombus terrestris (buff-tailed bumblebee)
Lineage: Eukaryota; Metazoa; Arthropoda; Insecta; Hymenoptera; Apidae
Exons: 2
Source: RefSeq, a predicted model, not a curated record